UUACAGACGAGGAAACUGAGGCU
Molecule: non-coding RNA, 23 nt
Filed under: Cricetulus griseus (Chinese hamster)
Lineage: Eukaryota; Metazoa; Chordata; Mammalia; Rodentia; Cricetidae
Source: RNAcentral